RNAcentral lists this ribosomal RNA (331 nucleotides) under uncultured Rhizophagus. RNAcentral describes it as "partial large subunit ribosomal RNA". The record is from RNAcentral. Lineage: Eukaryota; Fungi; Glomeromycota; Glomeromycetes; Glomerales; Glomeraceae.
CCAGUCGUACCUAUGGGUAAUCAGCCUUUUGGGUGCGAUUUUGUGGAGCGUGAGGAGUUAAACGCCUUCAUGCCUGCAUAUUCGUGCACUUUGGGUGUACUUGCCCGUAUGGUUGGUUAACAUCAAUUUUGGUGGUCAUAAAAUGACUGGAGGAAUGUAGCUUCGAUCUUGUAUUGAAGUGUUAUAGCCUUCGGUAGAUGUGAUGAUCGAGAUUGAGGAUUGCAACGGAUACCCUUCGGGGCUACCUGUCUGAUCUCUGAUCGUUGCUCUGGUGCCGAAAGCUUGCUUACGGUUAUCAAAGUCGAUGGCCAAUAGGUUAGAACGGGUUAAA